This 254-nucleotide ribosomal RNA is filed under the name uncultured bacterium. Its description in RNAcentral is "partial 16S ribosomal RNA". It matches the Rfam family "Bacterial small subunit ribosomal RNA", at positions 524 to 776 of the family's 1533-position model. The record is from RNAcentral.
UACGAAGGGGGCUAGCGUUGCUCGGAAUUACUGGGCGUAAAGCGCACGUAGGCGGCUUUCUAAGUCGGGGGUGAAAUCCUGGAGCUCAACUCCAGAACUGCCUUCGAUACUGGAGAGCUUGAGUCCGGGGAGAGGUGAGUGGAACUGCGAGUGUAGAGGUGAAAUUCGUAGAUAUUCGCAAGAACACCAGUGGCGAAGGCGGCUCACUGGCCCGGUACUGACGCUGAGGUGCGAAAGCGUGGGGAGCAAACAGG